GACGGCUACCGUCGAAGGGUCACGCGAAAGCGUCUUUGAACCCCGAGGAAACACGGAAGCUUAAACUCCACUUCGUGGAAUCCUCGCCCUGUAGGGCGGGGAGGAUGUCAAUAAUCAUCAAUUA
RNAcentral lists this unclassified non-coding RNA (124 nucleotides) under Halogranum amylolyticum. RNAcentral describes it as "HgcC family RNA". The record is from RNAcentral. Lineage: Archaea; Methanobacteriati; Methanobacteriota; Halobacteria; Halobacteriales; Haloferacaceae.